Molecule: ribosomal RNA, 475 nt
Filed under: uncultured bacterium
Lineage: Bacteria
Description: bacterial SSU rRNA
Rfam family: Bacterial small subunit ribosomal RNA
Source: RNAcentral
ACUCCUACGGGAGGCAGCAGUGGGGAAUAUUGGACAAUGGGCGAAAGCCUGAUCCAGCCAUGCCGCGUGUGUGAAGAAGGUCUUCGGAUUGUAAAGCACUUUAAGUUGGGAGGAAGGGCAGUAAGUUAAUACCUUGCUGUUUUGACGUUACCAACAGAAUAAGCACCGGCUAACUUCGUGCCAGCAGCCGCGGUAAUACGAAGGGGUGCAAGCGUUAAUCGGAAUUACUGGGCGUAAAGCGCGCGUAGGUGGUUCAGCAAGUUGGAUGUGAAAUCCCCGGGGCUCAACCUGGGAACUGCAUCCAAAACUACUGAGCUAGAGUACGGUAGAGGGUGGUGGAAUUUCCUGUGUAGCGGUGAAAUGCGUAGAUAUAGGAAGGAACACCAGUGGCGAAGGCGACCACCUGGACUGAUACUGACACUGUGGUGCGAAAGCGUGGGGAGCAAACAGGAUUAGAUACCCUGGUAGGAUAGCG